GACGAACGCUGGCGGCGUGCUUAACACAUGCAAGUCGAACGGAAAGGCCCUGCUUUUGUGGGGUGCUCGAGUGGCGAACGGGUGAGUAACACGUGAGUAACCUGCCCUUGACUUUGGGAUAACUUCAGGAAACUGGGGCUAAUACCGGAUAGGAGCUCCUGCUGCAUGGGGGGGGUUGGAAAGUUUCGGCGGUUGGGGAUGGACUCGCGGCUUAUCAGCUUGUUGGUGGGGUAGUGGCUGACCAAGGCUUUGACGGGUAGCCGGCCUGAGAGGGUGACCGGCCACAUUGGGACUGAGAUACGGCGCAGACUCCUACGGGAGGCAGUAGUGGGGAAUAUUGCACAAUGGGCGGAAGCCUGAUGCAGCAACGCCGCGUGCGUGAUGACGGCCUUCGGGUUGUAAACCGCUUUCGCCUGUGACGAAGCGUGAGUGACGGUAAUGGGUAAAGAAGCACCGGCUAACUACGUG
RNAcentral lists this ribosomal RNA (468 nucleotides) under uncultured bacterium. Its description in RNAcentral is "partial 16S ribosomal RNA". It matches the Rfam family "Bacterial small subunit ribosomal RNA", at positions 28 to 507 of the family's 1533-position model. The record is from RNAcentral.